Xyrichtys novacula (pearly razorfish) is the source of this 13510-nucleotide non-coding RNA. Lineage: Eukaryota; Metazoa; Chordata; Actinopteri; Labriformes; Labridae. The record is from the annotation of a GenBank genome assembly.
GGGUGUUAAAAUCACAGCCAGCAGUUUUUUCUGGCGGCGGAGCUCCUCUUCGUAUCCAGACUCUGUUCUAUUUUCGACCAGGUCCGUCAUUACCGCAGCCAGAAGCCGCCGAUUAAAUAAAUCAUCGAGAUCCUGAAACCCGGACAUUUUCCACAAACGCAAGAGCGGAAGCAGAACUUUGUGGUUACCGCGGUACCACGUGGACGACUUCUUCCUCUUCUUUUCCUUUAUGAGCGUUUUCUGGUGUGGAAACUGAGCUGAAUCCGGUUAGGAGCGAAAAUUUAAACCUCGGUAUCGGAUCACCAGGUUUGAAAAAGUCUCGGUUUAUUUGGCUCCGAUCUUUUGAUUGAAGAAUCUGGAUUUGGUCGAUUAUGGAGGUCGAGCAGUAAUGUGUUCUAUAUCUUCUUCCUCUUGGUUAACGGCGGAUGGCAACUAGUAGUACUGCUUCUUCUUCUUCUUCUUCUUGGAUUCGUUUGGCGGCUGGCAUCCAACAAUGUAGCGCAUUGCCGCCACCUACUGGACUGGAGUGUGGAACAAUAGAUAAUAAUAAUAAUAAAUAACUAACCUGUAUUCCCUGAUUUCUUCUUUACUUUACCCUGAAUACCAAAGUCCACUGUUGGCUCCUUAAAUACCCACGGAGGGAUUUCUGGUAAAGAAUUACUUGACACAUAUUGCAUGUUGCAUAAACCAACACUUUCGGCUUUUACAUUCCCAACCCAGCCCAAACUCCAAAAGUUGGUUUUGCCAUGCUCUGAGCAUUCCUCUAAUAUUGCUUUUGCUGGAUGCGACCUUUUGUGUCCCUGCAGAUAUACCCAGUAUGCCAGCAUGUGCUUUACCCUUCUUAUCCUUAGAGGCUCUUCCCCUACCUCAACUUGAAGAGCAGCCACUGGAGAGGUCUUAAACGCCCCAUUGCAUAUCCUCAGCCCCUUAGCCUGCUCCACGUCCAGCUUCUUCAGGUGACUCUCUGCUGCUGACAUAUAAGCCACACUGCCAUAAUCAAUUCUGGACCUCAUCAUCAUUCUUACAUUUAUCUCUCACUUUUUCAAUAUGCUGCUUCCAGGUGAGUUUUUCAUCAAAUAAAACACCCAAAAAUUGUACUACUUUGGCUUGUUCUAAAGUUUGAUCAUAUAGUUUUAUUGACACCUCUUUGUGUUGCUUAGCAAAGCAUAUUACUUGAGUUUUCGCAACUGACAGUUUGAACUCCCACCUAUUUGCCCACUGCUCCACUUUAUCAACCGCUGCCUGCAGCUUUUUCUGCAGAUACUCUUGAUUUCUGCCUCUUACCCAUAAGGCCCCAUCGUCAGCAAAUAAUGACUUACUUAUUCCUCCUCAAAUAUAUCAUUGAUCAUACAAUUAAAGAACACUGGACUACACACACUCCCUGGUGGGGUUCCGUUUUCAACCUCAUAUACUGGAGAGAAUUCCUGCCCUACUCUCACCUCUAUUGUUCUUCUAAAUAAAAAGCUCAGUACCCAGUUAUCUAAUUUCCCUCCUACUCCCAACUUAUCUAAUUUGAUCAGUAACUCUUCUUUCCAUAACAUAUCAUAUGCCUUCUCUACGUCGAAGAACACAGCCAUCACUAUUUCUUUAUUUGUCUGUGCUUUUCUAAUAUCUGACUUCAAACUGAGCACUGAAUCCAUGGUGUUCCUUCCUUUGCGAAACCCACUUUGAUAUGAAGAAAAAAGGUCACAACUCUCUAAAAAAAACAUCAGCCUUUCUGUCACCAUCUUUCCCUAGUUGGGAUGUAAGGGCAAUUGGCCUAUAAUUUGAUAAUUUGUUUCAAAAUUGGCACUAUAACUGAGUGAUUCCAUGCCUGUGGAACCUCCCCUGACUCCCAUACUUUGUUAAAUAACUUCAAUAUUACCCCCAGCGACCUGUCAUCCAUGUGAUCUAACAUACAGUAGCACACAUCAUCUUUCCCUGGUGAAGACUGCCGAGCUUUGGAUACUGCUCUUCUUAAUUCCUACAAAUUAAAGGGCAGAUCUUGAUCAUCCCCUCUUGCCUGCUUUUUCUUUCUAAUCCAAGUGUUUUGUGUCAGCACAUUCUGCCUAUGCUGCUUUGCUUCUGUUGAGAUAUUCUCUGAACUAUGAACUUGAAUCAACGUUUCUGCCAGUAGCGUCGCCUUCUCUAAAUUACUAACUGCUGUUCUAUCGUCCUUCCUCAGAAUUGGGAUUGUUAUAUUUCUUUUUAUUCCACUAAUUUUUCUAAUCAUUCCCCAAACAUCUGACAGCUGUACCUCCUGCCCUAUUCCACUACAGUACUUCCUCCAGCACGCCCGCUUAGCUGCUCUGAUCGUCCUUUUCACUACUGCCUGUGACCUUCUGUAUUGGAUUAAUGUCUCUAUUGUAUGCUGCUUCAUUAACUAUCUGAAUGCCCUGUUACGUGCUUUAAUAGCCUGUCUGCAGUUAUUAUCCCACCAUGGUACACUUUUUUCACUUCUGCCCCCGGACACUUUUGGAACUGUCCCAUCAGCAGACUGUAUUAUAGCUGCUACCACUCUCUCAUUCCAUUCCUCCACACCUGUCCAUUGCUCCUCAUGUAACUCCUCAAACAUAUUUCUACUCACUGCCUGAUAAGCAUCCCACUUAACAUUCAGAUUUUUCCACCUUGGCACCCUCCUUUCCUCCUCUUGCUGCAUUUCUACUCUCACCUUACUAAUCACUGGAUAGUGAUCACUCCCCAUUAAUAUUUCAUCUAGCACUUCCCAAUCUGUGAUACCUGCCAUCUCAUUGGACAUUAAAGGUGAGUCAAUGCACUCUCCUUAUUUCGUACACAAUCAUACCUAGUGCCCCUCCCAUCAUUCAUACACACUAACCGUUUAUCCUCUAUAAAUUCUUCCACUAUUGAACCAUUUGAGUCUGUUCUCUCACUCCCCCAUAAAGUGCUAUGUGCAUUGAAAUCCCCACACCACACUAUUUUCCCUUGCACUUCCCCCAGUACCUUAUUCAGCGUAUCCAUACUCAAUCUCUUGCAUGGGUUAUAGUAAUUAAUAACUGCUAGCUCAUAUCUUCCUGUCCAAAUUUUUACCGUUAUGGACUCAUGAUCCGUCCCCAUUUGACCUAUAUUAAACCCUAUCCCAUCCUUUACAAAGGUAGCUACCCCACCACCUGGCCCAUUUUUCCUGUCAUUUCUUACACCCAUGUACUCAUGUAUUACAAAAUCCCACUGCACCCUCAUCCAUGUUUCUUGAACACAUAUAAUAGUGGUCUUGUCCUGUAGCCCAGAAAUAAACUUCUUAAAUUCCUGCCCAUUGGUUAUGAGACUUCUUGCAUUCCAUUGCAGUAUACUUAGGACCAUGAUGAUCCUCCAUUCCAUACUGAUGACUGCUGUGAUGGAUUCUGUGAACUGGACCCCCUCCUUUCAGCAGGUCCUCCACUUCCUCCCACCCGACUGCCUCCAGUCCCAUAUACUCUUCUGCUGCUCUCACUAUUAUUUUGAUUUCUUCAGUUUUUUUGUCUGUUUGCCCUGUACAGUUACCCACCUCAACCAUGAACAGUAUGAAGUCUCUCUUCCCUACAACCAUUGUAUCUUCCUUAAUUCUUUUGCAUCCUUCAUGUGUUCUGACUUCUUGCCUUUCAGUUGUCCUGGAAUUACUUUCAGUUGCCUGCACCCUCACCCUCCUGUCUGCCUUGGCGUGUGUGAUCGAAUGUGAUGUUUUCAUUUGCUGCACUUCUGCUGCUCUCUUACAAACUUCACAUCCCCCGUAUGCAGAGGUAUGCUCCCCUCCACAGUUGCAGCAUUUAAUUUUAGCUCCAAUUUCACAUUUCCCAUAUUCAUGUUCCCCAGCACAUUUCCCACAUCUUUGUUUCCCCUUACACACUGCUGCAACAUGCCGAUACUUCUGGCAUUUGAAGCACCUUAAUGGCGGAGGCACAUAGAGCCUCACACCGUAGCUCAUAUAUCCUAUAUGCACUCUUUCAGGGAGUCUCUCUUCAUCCUCACUAUCUACCCUCUCUGUCUCCAUUAUCUACUUCAUAAUCUUCUGAACAAACAAUUUUGGUCAUAAACCUAAUACAAUUUCCUGUUAAUGUUAUUUAAGUUUAAGAGAGGUCUAAUGUGACAUCAAAAGACCAGGACUCAAUACAAGUAUCUCCAGAAUUCUAAUAAGUGAGAUAACACACCUCGCCACACUGCAUUGCAUAAUUGUAGAGCACAGGACAGGAUAGAGAAGGUUAAGUGCUGCCCCAGCAGAGGGUUAUUUCAGACCCAAUAAGUCCAGAUCAUACAAAAAAAAUUAAAAGAGACAAGGGAUAAGAAUAAGAAUAACUUUAUUGAUCCCCAAAGGGAAAUAAUAGCUAGAGAGCUAGCAUAGCUAGAGACCAGUUGUGUCUCUAGCUAUGUGUUCAUUUUUGCAGAGAGGCUUACAGAAUUUAAAGACUGAGACAACCCCCCCUACACACACAAACACACACACACGCACACACACACCUGAAGAGCCAUGUAACAUUCUUAGACUAGUCUAGUGUCAAUAUAUUCCAAUAUACGCAGAACAAAAAUAUCUCUCUCUAGUAUUAAGCAACAUUUGUAGGUUUGAAAUCUGUUACGUUUAACUCUUUCACCACACAGUAAACAACUCAAAAUCUUCUCCCCAGCAUAAACUAGAAAAUGUGAAACCUGACUUCAUUUACCAAAGAGUUAGUUUUAAAAAGUUUAUCACAUCCAGGGCAGCUAUAGGGUCUUUCUCCAGUGUGAACUCUCAUGUGCUUAUGCAGUGUUUGUUCAGUUUUAAAUGUUUUGCCACAUUCAGUGCAGCUGAAGGGUCUCUCAUCUGAGUGAACUCUCAUGUGGGGUGCCACUUCUUGUUUAGUUUUGAAUGUUUUCCCACAUUCUGAGCAGCUGAAGGGUUUCUCAUCUGUGUGAACUCUCAUGUGGCUUGCCACUUCUUGUUUAGUUUUGAAUGUUUUCCCACAUUCUGAGCAGCUGAAGGGUUUCUCCUCUGAGUGAACUCUGAUGUGGCUUGCCACUUCUUGUUUAGUUUUGAAUGUUUUCCCGCAUUCUGGGCAGCAGAAGGGUUUCUCCUCUGAGUGAACUCUCAUGUGGCUUGCCAGGUUAUCUUUAGUUUUGAAUGUUUUGCCACAUUCUGAGCAGCUGAAGGGUUUCUCCUCUGAAUGAACUGCCAUGUGUUGUCUCAGUUCUUUUUUAGUUUUGAAUGUUUUCCCACAUUCUGAGCAGCUGAAGGGUUUCUCAUCUGUGUGAACUCUCAUGUGGCUUGCCACUUCUUGUUUAGUUUUGAAUGUUUUCCCGCAUUCUGGGCAGCAGAAGGGUUUCUCCUCUGAGUGAACUCUGAUGUGGCUUGCCACUUCUUGUUUAGUUUUGAAUGUUUUGCCACAUUCUGAGCAGCUUAAGGGUUUCUCAUCUGAAUGAACUGCCAUGUGUUGUCCUAGUAUAUUUUUAGUUUUGAAUGUUGUGCCACACUCUGGGCAGCUGAAGGGUCUCUCCUCUGAGUGAAAUUUCAGGUGUUUUGCUAGUUCUUGACGUGUUUUGAAUAUUCGACAACACUUUGAGCAAACACGUGAUUUCUCAAGCCUCUUCAGCAUCUUCUUUCUCACUUUUUUCACAGAAAAAAGACUUGACUUUUGUGGCCUUGUUUCCUCCCAAUUCUCAUCACUGCCCUCAGUCUCAGGUUCAGGGGAGUCUUGAGUCUUUCGUUGUAUAUCUAUCUCUGAAUCUGAGUUACCGGCUGGAUCUUGUCCUCCAUAAUUCUGUUCCUUGCAAAUGUUCGGGGGCUCAGUGUAUCCCUGGUCCAGAGUGGGACUCCUCCCCUGCUGCUCAGAGAGAAACUCUUCUUUUUUCACCAACACCUUCUGGAUAUUUGCAAGGCACAGAAAAACAACAACUAAACAGAAGGUAAUGAAAACACCAGUAGAUGUAAAAGCAGAAUUUAAAACUCAAUGAUAUUCUUAAGAAAGAUAAGAGUUAGUGUGGGGAUGAUGAACUAAUGUUACCCCCUCUAGUGUUGGACUUAAUUAGCUCACCAGCUAUGUAUGUGCUGUCUCGGAGCAGCAGACUAUUUGUCAACAGUCCUGACAAGAACUGAACAAUGUCAGCAGCAUGGAUUUAGUUGAAGAGGCACCACUAAAUCUGUUGUUAUUCUCAUAUCAGUUUCAGCAUUUGAUAUGAUGCUCAUUGAUGUGCUCCUGAAACUUCUCGGGCAAAACUGUAUGGAUGCAGCCUGGUGCAAAAAGCUGCUGCACCAUAGUUCCAGGUAACCAAUCACAGUGUUGAUAAAACACUUAACCCAGGUAACCAAGAGCAGCAUUGUGAGAGUUCACACUAAGAGCUCAGAAUUCAGCUCACAUUUAGUUCACAUGGAUCCAAAUCAACUAGGUUGCACUGAUAGUUUGUGUGUCUGUCAGCAGAGCCUCCCGAACUUCAAUUGCUAAUCUCCUCACUGACAUUUAUUGAAGUUAUUAAUUAUUCAAUUGUACAUCACAAUUGGAGACAGACAUGUACUUUGAAAAAACAAGGAAAUUUCAGUGUUUUAAACAGUUUCUUUUUCGCCCCAAUACCCUGCUAUAGUGGGUGAGAUGUUUAUCAAGCCCUCUAAAAUAAAGGGGCUAAGGGUAUAGAAACACUGAAGAGACAAACAUGAAAGUUGACUAUUCUAUCUGAAAAAGUUUUACCCCUCUGAAUCAGACAGGAUUUUAGCCUGCUGGGCAGCACAAAAACUAAAAAUGCAGACUGACAGUACAUAAAUUUACAUUUUCAAGUAGGCCGCAGAGAUAAAUCUGGAACAUGUGCUUUUCUUGUGCCUUUUCAGAAUCAUCAUCAAACAUAUGUGUGACUCUUAAACUACAAGUACUUGAUGUUUUUCCCAUUUUGCUCACUGAUAAAGUACAAAAAAUACCGCACGAGUUUUUACACAAAACUUGAGCCUGUGGAGAAGCCAAAGAUUUUCGCACAGACCUGCAGGGUAAUUUCCCGACCAGCAGGUGACACUGUGGCUCAGUCUACCAGUACUAAGAAAUAAAGCGUGACCCACAGAGUGAGCAAGAGCUGAAAAGCGACACCGUCACGCUGUUAAUAGGAUAAAACAGGAUAGGAUAACUGUUGUAUUGUUGCGGUUGUGCAGAACUUCAUGUAUUCAUAAGAAAAAAAAGCUUUUCCUCGUAAAUAAAUACUUUUUUUGCCCUUAAGUCAUUUCAGGUUUAAUCAUAUUAUUUUGCCAUUUCAUUAAUAUGGUUUAUUGCAGCCUGUGUGUGGCGCUUGCUUCAGUAAAGGCAUUGAAACAUGUAUCCAGAAGUGUAAGGAAAACUGACCUGCUCUGUGCAGCUUGAUUUCGGGUGUUAAAAUCACAGCCAGCAGUUUUUUCUGGCGGCGGAGCUCCUCUUCGUAUCCAGACUCUGUUCUAUUUUCGACCAGGUCCGUGAUUACCGCAGCCAGCAGCCGCCGAUUAAAUAAAUCAUCAAGAUCCUGAAACCCGGACAUUUUCCACAAACGUAAGAGCGAAAGCAGACGUUUGUGGUUACCGCGGUACCACGUGGACGACCUCUUCCGCUUCUUUUGUCUUUAUGAGCGUUUUCUGGUGUGGAAACUGUUGAAGUUACUCCAAACUUCCCGGAGUCCGUUCAUGGAGACUGUAACAGAGGAUUCAAUGAGGCAAAAAGGUGUCUUCAACAAACCUUUUAUUUCGGCACAGCAAAUAACACAAGAUAUCUUGGAGAGCACAUCAACCCAAUGGUAUCUCUGAGGUGGUCUGAUUACUAUUUUUCAGUAGUUAAUAUUUAUACACUUGAGGCGUCUCAUCAUCUUUAUGGGCGGAGAGUUUACAUAACUAGCAGCCCCUAGUGUUUCUCUAUGGACAAACAAGCACGUAUUGUUCUACUGUUUUUUUUCCUGACUGAAACCGUGGUGUCAGGGAAGUUGACCUUGGAUGCAUCCAGUGCUUGUCUCCUUUUUAUCAUAUUUGCGUCAUGUAUUCCAAUCUUUCACAGAGUUCCCACUAGGCAGACUGCUGGGCAUGCAAACCCUCCCUGUACACCCCCACAUCUUCUCAGGACAGAGUGAUCUUCCUCCCUGGUCCUGUUGUUCACAUCUCUGACUGGCACCUGCACAUCUGUUAUGAAAGGCACAUCAUUAUCCAAGGCAUAUGUCAGGGCCAUAGAGCACUUUUAUAAGGAACACUUUUAAUGAAUGACUGUGAUGAUUAUAAAGCAUAGUUUUUAAUAAAUUACUUAUGAUUAUAAUACACACUUCAAAUUAAUGACUGUUAAGGCAGAACAGUUUAAAACCAUACUUACCAACCCUUGGCACUUCUAGGCAUAAGCUAAAAUCCUUCUAUACUGAAAGUCUCUGUUCUAUACAUUGUGACACAGUGAUCAAUUGCCCCUGUGUUAGCAUUAAACCUUCUUAUCUGACUCAUCAGUACAUGUCCGCAAUGAGCACACAAAAUAAUGUAAACACAAUAAGAAAACAGUUAAUUACCUGAAAAAUGAUAAAAUGAUUGUCAUCAAUGAUUAAAUGAUUAGCAUGAACCUGUGAGUUCCCACAAAUUAGAGCUGAAUCCGGUAUGGAGCGAAAAUUUAAACCUUGGUAUCGGAUCACCAAGUUUGAAAAAGUCACGGUUUAUUUGGCUCCAAUCUUUUGAUUGCAGAGUCUGGAGAGGUCUAAUGUGACAUCAAAAAGCCAGGACUCAAUACAAGUAUCUUCAGAAUUGUAAUGAGUAAAACAAAAGAAAAAAACACACACACCUUGCUACACUGCAUUGCAUAAUUGUAGAGCACAGGACAGGAUAGAGAAGGUUAAGUGCUGCCCCAGCAGAGGGUUAUUUCAGACCCAUUAUCUAGAUCAUACAAAAAAAAUUACAAAAGAUACAAGGGAUAAGAAUAAGAAUAACUUUAUUGAUCCCUGAAGGGAAAUCAUAGCUAGAGAGCUAGCAUAGCUAGAGACACAACGGGUCUCUAGCUAUGUGUUCAUUUUUGCAGAGAGGCUUCCAGAAUUUAAAGACUGAGACAACCCCUCCUACACACACACACACACCUCUGAAGAGCCACGUGACAUUCUUGGACUAGUCUAGUGUCAGUAUAUUCUAUUAUACACAGAACAAAAAUGUCUCUCUCUAUUAUAGAAACAACAUUUGUAGAUUUGGAAAAUGUAACGUUUUCCUCCUUCACCACACAGUAAACAACUCAAAAUCUACUCCCCAGCAUAAACUAGAAAAUGUGAAAUCUGACUUCAUUUUCCAAAGAGUACUUCCCUUCAAACACAGCAGCCAGUGGGUUUCUUCAUCAUUUGAGAUUAAUGUGUGUAUUGAGUUCUUGUUUGGUUUUAUACAGUUUAUCACAUCCAGGGCAGCUAUAGGGUCUUUCUCCAGUGUGAACUCUCAUGUGUGUUAUCAAUUCAGGUUUUCUUUGGAAAAGCAGCUAAAGGGUCUCUCCUCUGUGUGAACUCUCAUGUGUCUUGCCAGGUCGUAUAUAGUUUUGAAAUUUUUGCCACAUUCAGUGCAGCUGAAGGGUCUCUCCUCUGAGUGAAUCGUCUUGUGGUUCACCAGAUGGGCUUUAGUUUUAAAUGUAUUGCCACAUUCUGAGCAGCUGAAGGGUCUCUCCUCUGAAUGAAAUUUUGUGUGUUGUGCCAGGUCUUAUUUAGUUUUGAAUGUUUUGCCACAUUCUGAGCAGCUGAAGGGUCUCUCCUCUGAAUGAACUAUCAUGUGUUGUCCCAGUUCUUUUUUAGUUUUGAAAUUUUUGCCACAUACAGUGCAGCUGAAGGGUCUCUCCUCAGAAUGAACUAUCAUGUGUUGUCCCAGUUCUCUUUUAGUUUUGAAAUUUUUGGCACAUUCAGUGCAGCUGAAGGGUCUCUCCUCUGAGUGAACCGUCUUGUGGUUCACCAGAAUGGCUUUUGUUUUAAAUGCACUGCCACAUUCUGAGCAGCUGAAGGGUCUCUCCUCUGAAUGAACUCUCAUGUGGUGCGCCAGGUCGUAUUUAGUUUUGAAUGUUUUGCCACAUUCUGAGCAGCUGAAGGGUCUCUCCUCUGAAUGAACUGCCAUGUGUUGUCCCAGUUCUUUUUUAGUUUUGAAAUUUUUGCCACAUUCAGUGCAGCUGAAGGGUCUCUCCUCUGAGUGAAUCGUCUUGUGGUUCACCAGAUGGGCUUUAGUUUUGAAUGUUUUGCCACAUUCUGAGCAGCUGAAGGGUCUCUCCUCUGAAUGAAAUUUUGUGUGUUGUGCCAGGUCGUAUUUAGUUUUGAAUGUUUUGCCACAUUCUGAGCAGCUGAAGGGUCUCUCCUCUGAAUGAACUAUCAUGUGUUGUCGCAGUUCUUUUUUAGUUUUGAAAUUUUUGCCACAUUCAGUGCAGCUGAAGGGUCUCUCCUCUGAGUGAACCGUCUUGUGGUGCACCAGAAUGGCUUUUGUUUUAAAUGCAUUGCAACAUUCUGAGCAGCUGAAGGGUUUCUCAUCUGUGUGAACUCUCAUGUGGCUUGCCACUUCUUGUUUAGUUUUGAAUGUUUUCCCACAUUCUGAGCAGCUGAAGGGUUUCUCCUCUGAGUGAACUCUCAUGUGGCUUGCCACUUCUUGUUUAGUUUUGAAUGUUUUCCCGCAUUCUGAGCAGCUGAAGGGUUUCUCCUCUGAGUGAACUCUGAUGUGGCUUGCCACUUCUUGUUUAGUUUUGAAUGUUUUCCCGCAUUCUGGGCAGCUGAAGGGUUUCUCCUCUGAGUGAACUCUCAUGUGGCUUGCCAGGUUAUCUUUAGUUUUGAAUGUUUUGCCACAUUCUGAGCAGCUGAAGGGUCUCUCCUCUGAAUGAACUGCCAUGUGUUGUCUCAGUUCUUUUUUAGUUUUGAAUGUUUUCCCACAUUCUGAGCAGCUGAAGGGUCUCUCCUCUGAGUGAACUCUCAUGUGGCUUGCCAGUUCUCCUUUAGUUUUGAAUGUUUUGCCACAUCCGGAGCAGCUGAAGGGUCUAUCUUCUGAGUGAACUGCCAUGUGUUGUGCCAGUUCUCUUUUAGAUUUGAAAAUUUUGCCACACUCUGGGCAAUUGAAGGGUCUCUCCUCUGAAUGAACGCUCAUGUGCAUUGUCACUUCGUAUUUAGUUUUGAAUGUUUUGCCACACUGCCUGCAGCUGAAGGGUUUCUCAUCUGAGUGAACUCUCAUGUGACUGGUCCUCAGCUUUUUUGUUUUAAACAAUUUACCACACUCUGGGCAGCUGAAGAGUUUCUCAUCUGAAUGAACUGCCAUGUGGUUUGCUAGUGUUUUUUUAGUUUUGAAUGUUUUGCAACAUUCUGAGCAGCUGAAGGGUCUCUCCUCUGAGUGAACUCUCAUAUGUUUUGUCAGUUUUCCUUUAGUUUUGAAUGUUUUGCCACACUCAGGGCAGCUGAAGGGUUUCUCCUCUGAGUGAACUAUCAUGUGUUUUACCAGUUCUCCUUUAGUUUUGAAUGUUUUGCCACAGUCUGGGCAGCUGAAGGGUCUCUCAUCUGAGUGAACUCUCAUGUGGCUUGCCAGGUCGUAUUUAGUUUUGAAUGUUUUGGCACAUUCUGGGCAGCUGAAGGGUCUCUCCUCUGAGUGAACUUUCAGGUGUUUUUCUAGUUCUUGUUGUGUUUUGAAUACUUGACAACAUUUUGAGCAAACAUGUGAUUUCUCAAGCCUCUUUAGCAUCUUCUUUCUCACUUUUUUCACAGACAUUAGACUUGACUUUUGUGGCCUUGUAUCCUCCCAAUUCUCAUCUCUGCCCUCGGUCUCAGGUUCAGGGGAGUCUUGAGUCUUUCGUUGUAUAUUUAUCCCUGAGUAGUUACUGGCUGGAUCUUGUCCUCCAUAAUUCUGUUCCUUGCAAAUGUUCGGGGGCUCAGUGUUUCCCUGGUCCAGAGUGGGACUCCUCUCCUGCUGCUCAGAGAGAAACUCUUUUUUCACCAACACCUGCUGGAUAUCUGCAAGGCACAGAAAAACAAUAACUAAACAGAAGUUGAUGAAAACAUCAGGAGAUAUGAAAGCAGAUUUAAACACUCAAUGAUAGUCUCAAAAAGAUAAGAGUUAGUCUGGGGAUUAUGGACUAAUGUUGCCCCCUCUAGUGUUGGACUUAAUUAGCUCACCAGCUAUUAAAAGCAGACUAUUUCUCAAUAGUUCUGACAAGAACUGAACAAUGUCAGCAGCAUGGAUUUAGUUGAAGAGGCACCACUAAAUCUGUUGUUAUUCUCAUAUCAGUUUCAGCAUUUGAUAUGAUGCUCAUUGUUGUGCUCCUGAAACUUCUGGGGCAAAACUGUAUGGAUGCAGCCUGGUGCAAAGAGCUGCUGCACAAUAGUUCCAGGCAACCAAUCACAGUGUUGAUAAAACACUUAACCCAGGUAACCAAGAGCAGCAUUGUGAGAGUUCAUACUAAGAGCUAAGAGUUCAGUUCACAUUUAGUUCACAUGGAUCCAAAUCAAAUAGGUUGCAGUGAUAGUUUGUGUGUCUGUCAGCAGAGCCUCCCAAACUUCAAUUUCUUAUCCCCUCACUGACAUUUAUUGAACUAAAUUAUCAUUAAAUUGUAUAUCACAAUUGGAGACAGACAUGUACUUUGAAAAAACAAGGAAAUUUCAGUGUUUUUUUUCUUCCCGCCCCAAUACCCUGCUAUAGUGGGUGAGAUGUUUAUCAAGCCCUCUAAAAUAAAGGGGCUAAGGGUAUAGAAACAUUGAAGAGACAAAUAUGAAAGUUAACUAUUCUAUCUGAAAAAGUUUUACCCCUCUGAAUCAGACAGGAUUUAAGCCUGCUGGGCCGCACAAAAACUAAAAAUGCAGACUGACAGUACAAAGUCAAAGAUUUACAUCUUCAAGUAGGCCGCAGAGAUACACCUGGAACAUGUGCUUCCUUGUGCCUUUUCAGAAUCAUCAUCAAACCAAUGUGUGACUCUUAAACUACAAAUACUUGACACAGUCCAGCAGUUAAUAGGAUAAAACAGUAUAGGAUAGCUGUUCUAUUUGUUGUCGCGGUUGUGCAGUACUUCAUAUAUUCGUAAUAAAAAACUUUUCCUUGAAAAUAAAUAGUUUUUUGCCCUUUAGUCAUUUCAGGUUUAAUCAUAUUAUUUUGCCAGGCAUUGAAACAUGUAUCCAGAAGUGUAAGGAAAACUGACCUGCUCUGUGCAGCUUGAUUUCGGGUGUUAAAAUCACAGCCAGCAGUUUUUUCUGGCGGCGGAGCUCCUCUUCGUAUCCAGACUCUGUUCUAUUUUCGACCAGAUCCGUGAUGACCGCAGCCAGCAGCCGCCGAUUCAAUAAAUCAUCGAGAUCCUGAAACCCGGACAUUUUCCACAAACGCAAGAGCGAAAGCAGCGAAAACAGAACUUUGUGGUUACCGCGGUACCACGUGGACGACUUCUUCCUCUUCUUUUUACUUUGUAAGCGUUUUCUGGUGCGGAAACUGAGCUGAAUCGGUUUGGAGCGAAAAUUUGAACCUCGGUUUCGGAUCACCAGGUUUGAAAAAGUCAAGGCUUAUUUGGCUCCGAUCCUUUGUUUGCAGAAUCUGGAUUUGGUCGAUUAUGGGAGGUCGAGCAGAAAUGUGUACUUCUUUAUCUCCUUCUUGGUUAACGGCGGAUGGCAACUAGUAGUACUGAUUUCGGUCGAC